CACUGCCCUAAUUCCAGUAGCCUGGAUACAAUAUAAGGGACGCAGAGAGGUUUGCCUUGUCCCUUGUUGCUUUGUUACCUUUUGACUGCCAUGAACUGUUUUUCCUCUGUGAUGCCCUCUGCUAUGCCACCCUACCUUGGAGCCAGGUGAUUAUGGACUGAAACCUCUACAAACUAGCUCUGUGAUCACUCUUCUCUGCAGGCCCGGACCUCAUAGACUGAACUAUGAACAGCCACUCAACUGGAAAACCUAAAUGCAAUGGGAGGAAUUGGACACCAGGCAGGGGCCAACUGGUGACACUUGACCACCAAAGACAAGUAUUAGAUAUCUUGUAGGCAGUUAGUGCCUUCUUUAAGGUGCCAGCCCUCCAGGAGCCAACACAGCAAGGAGCCAACAUGCAGGACAGUGAAGACACAUUCACUGAAGGCCAACAUUGUAAAAGGAGAGAAAUUAGCACACCCAUGUAGGAUGAAUAGCAGUGAUUGAUAUUCUAAACAGGUAUCAAUCACCUGGUGGGUGGGGGGGGGCAAGGUCUUAACCCAGCCUCCCCAGGAAAUAUCCCUGACCCACCCUUACUGAAAAUUCUUGUAUGCUUGCUACGUGACUUGCUCCCCUAUUUGACCCCCCAUUUAAUCAAUAUUACCUGGGUGACUGUACUUGUUUGUUUUUUUGGUACUGGAGAUCGAACUUGGGUCCUUGCUCUUGCGCAGCUGGCAUCAAAACCACUGAGCUAAAUUCCCGGCCCUAGUACUUGUAAUCUUAUUAGUUGGUCAUGGUUUUGCCCCACCUCAUGCCCACCUUGUAAAUUUCCAUUGAGUCUUAUAGUUUUGUCCCACUUUGUACCCAUCUUACCACAUGGCUUUGCUGUAUAAAACAUCUUUGAAAAGUGGGGUGGGCAAGCAACCCACUUUCCGGUCCCCCUUCUGUUUCUCUUAGGCAGAAGCUUUCUGUCUCUCAAUAAAUUUUUUCUACUCUUAACCUCCAUUGUUCUGAGAAUUAAUUCUUUGAUUUUAGAGAACACAAACUCGCGUUUUGAAUGUCUAGUAGGUUUGGGAGUUGAAUCUCUUCCC
This is a long non-coding RNA of Heterocephalus glaber (naked mole-rat), 1070 nucleotides long. The record is from Ensembl. Lineage: Eukaryota; Metazoa; Chordata; Mammalia; Rodentia; Bathyergidae.